This 497-nucleotide ribosomal RNA is filed under the name uncultured bacterium. RNAcentral's name for it is "partial 16S ribosomal RNA". It matches the Rfam family "Bacterial small subunit ribosomal RNA", at positions 28 to 507 of the family's 1533-position model. The record is from RNAcentral.
GAUGAACGCUGGCGGCGUGCCUAAUACAUGCAAGUCGAGCGAACGGACGAGAAGCUUGCUUCUCUGAUGUUAGCGGCGGACGGGUGAGUAACACGUGGAUAACCUACCUAUAAGACUGGGAUAACUUCGGGAAACCGGAGCUAAUACCGGAUAAUAUUUUGAACCGCAUGGUUCAAAAGUGAAAGACGGUCUUGCUGUCACUUAUAGAUGGAUCCGCGCUGCAUUAGCUAGUUGGUAAGGUAACGGCUUACCAAGGCAACGAUGCAUAGCCGACCUGAGAGGGUGAUCGGCCAUACUAGAACUGAGACACGGUCCAGACUCCUACGGGAGGCAGCAGUAGGGAAUCUUCCACAAUGGGCGAAAGCCUGACGGAGCAACGCGGCGUGGGUGAGGAAGGUCUGCGGAGCGUAAGACUCUGUUACUAGGGAAGAACAAAUGUGUAAGUAACUGUGCACAUCUUGACGGUACCUAAUCAGAAAGCCACGGCUAACUACGUG